Molecule: ribosomal RNA, 426 nt
Filed under: uncultured bacterium
Lineage: Bacteria
Description: bacterial SSU rRNA
Rfam family: Bacterial small subunit ribosomal RNA
Source: RNAcentral
GAAUUGUUCGCAAUGGGCGCAAGCCUGACGACGCAACGCCGCGUGGAGGAUGAAGAUUUUCGGAUCGUAAACUCCUUUCGAUCGGGACGAAUGGCUGGGAACCUAAUACGUUCCCGGAUUGACGGUACCGAGAGAAGAAGCCCCGGCUAACUCCGUGCCAGCAGCCGCGGUAAUACGGGGGGGGCAAGCGUUGUUCGGAAUUGCUGGGCGUAAAGGGCGCGUAGGCGGCCUGCUAAGUCACACGUGAAAUCCCUCGGCUCAACCGGGGAACUGCGUGUGAUACUGGCGGGCUCGAAUUCGGGAGAGGGAUGUGGAAUUCCAGGUGUAGCGGUGAAAUGCGUAGAUAUCUGGAGGAACACCGGUGGCGAAGGCGGCAUCCUGGACCGAGAUUGACGCUGAGGCGCGAAAGCUAGGGUAGCAAACGGG